GUGGGGAAUAUUGGACAAUGGGCGCAAGCCUGAUCCAGCCAUGCCGCGUGAGUGAUGAAGGCCCUAGGGUUGUAAAGCUCUUUCACCGGUGAAGAUAAUGACGGUAACCGGAGAAGAAGCCCCGGCUAACUUCGUGCCAGCAGCCGCGGUAAUACGAAGGGGGCUAGCGUUGUUCGGAAUUACUGGGCGUAAAGCGCACGUAGGCGGACAUUUAAGUCAGGGGUGAAAUCCCAGAGCUCAACUCUGGAACUGCCUUUGACACUGGGUGUCUUGAGUAUGGAAGAGGUAAGUGGAAUUCCGAGUGUAGAGGUGAAAUUCGUAGAUAUUCGGAGGAACACCAGUGGCGAAGGCGGCUUACUGGUCCAUUACUGACGCUGAGGUGCGAAAGCGUGGGGAGCAAACAGGAUUAGAUACCCGAGUAGUCC
RNAcentral lists this ribosomal RNA (425 nucleotides) under uncultured bacterium. RNAcentral's name for it is "partial 16S ribosomal RNA". It matches the Rfam family "Bacterial small subunit ribosomal RNA", at positions 354 to 796 of the family's 1533-position model. The record is from RNAcentral.